GCUGUGGUGGCCUAGUGGUUAGAGUGUCUGCUUUGAAUGCAGGAGGUUGUGGUUUCAAUCCCCGGUCUAGUCAUACCA
Non-coding RNA from Potamilus streckersoni, 78 nucleotides. NCBI's taxonomy places the organism in Eukaryota, Metazoa, Mollusca, Bivalvia, Unionida, Unionidae. The record is from the annotation of a GenBank genome assembly.